UGGCGGACGGGUGAGUAAUGUCUGGGAAACUGCCUGAUGGAGGGGGAUAACUACUGGAAACGGUAGCUAAUACCGCAUAACGUCGCAGGACCAAAGAGGGGGACCUUCGGGCCUCUUGCCAUCGGAUGUGCCCAGAUGGGAUUAGCUAGUAGGUGGGGUAACGGCUCACCUAGGCGACGAUCCCUAGCUGGUCUGAGAGGAUGACCAGCCACACUGGAACUGAGACACGGUCCAG
Molecule: ribosomal RNA, 235 nt
Filed under: uncultured bacterium
Lineage: Bacteria
Description: partial 16S ribosomal RNA
Rfam family: Bacterial small subunit ribosomal RNA
Source: RNAcentral